GCUCAAGUGAGGGAAUUAAGGACGGUACGUUAUCCUUGUAACGGGGAUCCGGCAGGGUGGCCACCCAGUAAUCAGCACAAGUUAGAAUGUGGGCAACUCGGCAGUCAUUGCGCAGGCACUUUGGUGAAUUUAGAUAACCUUGGGCCGAUUGCACAUUCCCAUGACGGCGACGACGUAUUCGGAUGUCUACCUAUCAACUUUCCAUGGUACUUUCUACGCCUACCAUGGUGACCACAGGUAACAGGGAAUCAGGGUUCGAUUCCGGAG
Molecule: ribosomal RNA, 267 nt
Filed under: Pelobates cultripes (western spadefoot toad)
Lineage: Eukaryota; Metazoa; Chordata; Amphibia; Anura; Pelobatidae
Description: SSU_rRNA_eukarya
Rfam family: Eukaryotic small subunit ribosomal RNA
Source: RNAcentral